GCGCGCGAACCCCGCCGGCCACGUCCGGCCCCCGCCCGGCCUUUGUCCCGGUGCUGAGCCGCCGCGCCGGGGGAGGGGACUGGACUGACCCCGUCGCCCGUUCACUGAUUGACGUAUCGAUUCAUUCCAGCACUCUCGCUCCGGCAGCCGCCAUCCACCGCCAGUUUGGAGAGCCGGACACCCGGGUUCGAAUCCCGGCUUUGCCGCUUUUCCACUCUGUGCCCUCGUUGCUUCCUCGUGUGAAAUGAGGGGACAGACAGCUGAUCUUUCUGAGCUGCCCAUGGCUGGGACCACUGCCUCCAUUCCCAACACCCUGCUGGGGACCCCGCCUUCCAAAGAACAUGCCCCAGGCACACAGGUGAGCUCCCGCCAUGCACUCCCCGUGAAAGGGAAGCCGUCUGGAGGCAGUGUGGCACCUGAAGACGCUGGAGCUGCUGCUGUCAGGGACACACGCCCUGCCCAUUCAUCUGCCUUCUGCGCCGGGAGCCCCCGCAGAUGCGGAAGAUGCAGGGAAUGAUUCAGCCCCAGCCUUAGUAAGUCAAUUUCCACUCAUUCACAACUUACGAUGGUUUCACACAGGGUGCUGGAUUGAUGCUUCGUGUUACUCAGCAAGGCUUGCUUCUGCGAGAGGGAGGAGCAGUGGUGGUGGGGGGAACCCUUCCUCGGUGAGGCCUACUUGUCCAGCACAGUGCUCAGGGCCCUGCAAGAGUCCCAGCGGGAGAGUGACUUGCUCAAGGUCACACAGCUCAAGGGGCAAACUGGAUUUGAACCCAGACUGUGGGGCUCCAGGGAACCAUGGUGGGGUGCACCCCUCCCACCACCACCAGUCUUAGAUUGGCAGCCUUUUGUGGAGCGUCCAUGCUGUGCCCAGGCCUGUGCGGGAAGCCUCUGGAAGACGCAGGGAGAGUGGCCGGCCUUGUGGCAAGAUAGGACACAUGUAUUGCUAUUACUGUUUAUUACCACCCUCUCUAACUCUGAUCCUUAGAGAAAAAGAGGCACUGAAGAAAAUGAGUAAAGAGGAGCAGAGUUUCUUUUUUCCUCCCAAGUGAAUCAUUGAAAGAAAUGGUGAAAUUAGACCCAUUACAUCUUCUGGAGAAACUGGAAGGGGCUUGCAGUAGGUUGAAUGGUGGCCGCCCCAGAAGAUAUGUCCUUGGAACCUGCUAAUGAAACCUUACUUGAAAAAGGCAUCUUUGGGCCGGGCACAGUGGCUCACACCUGUAAUCCCAGCACUUUGCGAGGCCAAGGCCAGUGGAUCACCUGAAGUCAGGAGUUCAAGACCAGCCUGGCCAACAUGGCGAAAUCCCAUCUCUACUAAAAAUACAAAAAGUAUCUGGGUGUGGUGGUGGGUGCCUGUAACCCCAUCUACUCGGGAGCCUGAGGAAGGAGAAUAACUUGAACCUGGGAGGCAGAGGUUGCAGUGAGCCGAGGUCGCGCCACUGCACCCCAGCCUGGGCGACAGAGCGAGACUCCGUCUCAAAAAAAAAAAAAAAAAAAAAAAAAAAAAAAAAAAAAAAAAAAAGAGAGAGAGAGAAAGGCAUCUUUGUCAAUGUAUUUAAGUUAAGGAUCUUGAGAUGAGAUUAUCCUGGAUUGUCCAGUUAACCCUGAAUCCAGUGACAAGUGUCUUUAAAAGAGAUACACAGAGGAGAAGACAGACACAAAGAGAGAAGGUGAUGUGAAGAUGGGGGCAGAGAUUGGAGGGACGCAGCUACAAGCCAAGAAAACCAAGGAUUGCUGGCAGCCACCAGAGGCUGGGAGAGAGGCCUGGGUUGAGACGGCCUCAGAGCCUCCAGAGGGAGCCUGGUCCUGCUGACACCUCAGUUUUGGAGUUCUGACCUCCAGAACUAUGAGAAAAUAAAUUUCUGUUGUUUCAAGCCACCGAGUUUGUGGUAACUUUUCAUGGCAGACCUAGGAAACUAAUACAGGAAUGAACUUGGGGAAAACAACAGUGGGAAGGUCCUUGCCCAGUGGAGCCCUUCCUGGAUGGCACUGUCCACACCCAGGGCUUCAUUCCUUCUCCAAAGA
This 2022-nucleotide long non-coding RNA is filed under the name Homo sapiens (human). RNAcentral's name for it is "non-protein coding lnc-NEURL1B-3:7". The record is from RNAcentral. Lineage: Eukaryota; Metazoa; Chordata; Mammalia; Primates; Hominidae.